RNAcentral lists this ribosomal RNA (432 nucleotides) under uncultured bacterium. RNAcentral describes it as "bacterial SSU rRNA". It matches the Rfam family "Bacterial small subunit ribosomal RNA", at positions 338 to 786 of the family's 1533-position model. The record is from RNAcentral.
CCUACGGGGGGCAGCAGUGGGGAAUAUUGCACAAUGGGGGAAACCCUGAUGCAGCGACGCCGCGUGAGUGAAGAAGUAUUUCGGUAUGUAAAGCUCUAUCAGCAGGGAAGAAAAAAGACGGUACCUGACUAAGAAGCCCCGGCUAACUACGUGCCAGCAGCCGCGGUAAUACGUAGGGGGCAAGCGUUAUCCGGAUUUACUGGGUGUAAAGGGAGCGUAGACGGCGCGGCAAGUCUGAAGUGAAAGGCAGGGGCUUAACCCCUGAACUGCUUUGGAAACUGCCAUGCUAGAGUGCUGGAGAGGUAAGUGGAAUUCCUAGUGUAGCGGUGAAAUGCGUAGAUAUUAGGAGGAACACCAGUGGCGAAGGCGGCUUACUGGACAGUAACUGACGUUGAGGCUCGAAAGCGUGGGGAGCAAACAGGAUUAGAUACC